GAUGAACGCUGGCGGCGUGCCUAACACAUGCAAGUCGAGCGAUGAAGUUCUCUUCGGAGAACGGAUUAGCGGCGGACGGGUGAGUAACACGUGGGCAACCUGCCUUGUAGAGGGGAAUAGCCUUCCGAAAGGAAGAUUAAUACCGCAUAAUAUUAUUGAGUGGCAUCACUCGAUAAUCAAAGGAGCAAUCCGCUACAAGAUGGGCCCGCGUCGCAUUAGUUAGUUGGUGGGGUAAUGGCCUACCAAGACGACGAUGCGUAGCCGACCUAAGAGGGUGAUCGGCCACAUUGGGACUGAGACACGGCCCAGACUCCUACGGGAGGCAGCAGUGGGGAAUAUUGCACAAUGGAGGAAACUCUGAUGCAGCAACGCCGCGUGAGCGAUGAAGGUCUUCGGAUCGUAAAGCUCUGUCUUCGGGGAUGAUAAUGACAGUACCCGAGGAGGAAGCCAC
Molecule: ribosomal RNA, 451 nt
Filed under: uncultured bacterium
Lineage: Bacteria
Description: bacterial SSU rRNA
Rfam family: Bacterial small subunit ribosomal RNA
Source: RNAcentral